AAGUCGUAACAAGGUAACCGUAGGUGAACCUGCGGUUGGAUCAUUAACAAAUAUUAUUGAGUUUUUUCUCCCUAAAUGGGAGGGAAUCUCUCUAACACUUGUGUGCACUGUUUACUGUCUCUCGGUGAUUGGAGAGGAGGGGGUAAUUAUUACCCUCCCUACCUUCACCAACUUAAACUUGAUUUAAAAAAAACUUUAUGCCUUUAAUUUUAAAUUUAUAAUUUGAAAACAACUUUUAACAACGGAUCUCUAGGCUCUC
RNAcentral lists this unclassified non-coding RNA (259 nucleotides) under fungal sp. RNAcentral describes it as "partial internal transcribed spacer region". The stretch from base 1 to 46 matches the Rfam family "Eukaryotic small subunit ribosomal RNA", at positions 1786 to 1831 of the family's 1831-position model. Lineage: Eukaryota; Fungi. The record is from RNAcentral.